Molecule: ribosomal RNA, 253 nt
Filed under: uncultured bacterium
Lineage: Bacteria
Description: partial 16S ribosomal RNA
Rfam family: Bacterial small subunit ribosomal RNA
Source: RNAcentral
UACGAAGGGGGCUAGCGUUGCUCGGAAUUACUGGGCGUAAAGCGCACGUAGGCGGCUUUCUAAGUCGGAGGUGAAAUCCUGGAGCUCAACUCCAGAACUGCCUUCGAUACUGGAGAGCUUGAGUCCGGGAGAGGUGAGUGGAACUGCGAGUGUAGAGGUGAAAUUCGUAGAUAUUCGCAAGAACACCAGUGGCGAAGGCGGCUCACUGGCCCGGUACUGACGCUGAGGUGCGAAAGCGUGGGGAGCAGACAGG